RNAcentral lists this ribosomal RNA (572 nucleotides) under Lactiplantibacillus plantarum. RNAcentral's name for it is "bacterial SSU rRNA". It matches the Rfam family "Bacterial small subunit ribosomal RNA", at positions 830 to 1403 of the family's 1533-position model. Lineage: Bacteria; Bacillati; Bacillota; Bacilli; Lactobacillales; Lactobacillaceae. The record is from RNAcentral.
UUUCCGCCCUUCAGUGCUGCAGCUAACGCAUUAAGCAUUCCGCCUGGGGAGUACGGCCGCAAGGCUGAAACUCAAAGGAAUUGACGGGGGCCCGCACCAGCGGUGGAGCAUGUGGUUUAAUUUGAAGCUACGCGAAGAACCUUACCAGGUCUUGACAUACUAUGCAAAUUUAAGAGAUUAGACGUUCCCUUUGGGGACAUGGAUACAGGUGGUGCAUGGUUGUUGUCAGCUCGUGUCGUGAGAUGUUGGGUUAAGUCCCGCAACGAGCGCAACCCUUAUUAUCAGUUGCCAGCAUUAAGUUGGGCACUUUGGUGAGACUGCCGGUGACAAACCGGAGGAAGGUGGGGAUGACGUCAAAUCAUCAUGCCCCUUAUGACCUGGGCUACACACGUGCUACAAUGGAUGGUACAACGAGUUGCGAACUCGCGAGAGUAAGCUAAUCUUUUAAAGCCAUUCUCAGUUCGGAUUGUAGGCUGCAACUCGCCUACAUGAAGUCGGAAUCGCUAGUAAUCGCGGAUCAGCAUGCCGCGGUGAAUACGUUCCCGGGCCUUGUACACACCGCCCGUCACACC